CAGUCGCCGCGGGAAUACAGAGGGUGCGAGCGUUAAUCGGAUUUACUGGGCGUAAAGCGUGCGUAGGCGGCUUUUUAAGUCGGAUGUGAAAUCCCUGAGCUUAACUUAGGAAUUGCAUUCGAUACUGGGAAGCUAGAGUAUGGGAGAGGAUGGUAGAAUUCCAGGUGUAGCGGUGAAAUGCGUAGAGAUCUGGAGGAAUACCGAUGUCGAAGGCAGCCAUCUGGCCUAAUACUGACGCUGAGGUACGAAAGCAUGGGGAGCAAACAGGAUUAGAUACCCCUGUAGUCCCUGUCUCUUAUAC
This 301-nucleotide ribosomal RNA is filed under the name uncultured bacterium. Its description in RNAcentral is "partial 16S ribosomal RNA". It matches the Rfam family "Bacterial small subunit ribosomal RNA", at positions 509 to 807 of the family's 1533-position model. The record is from RNAcentral.